AACGCGAAGAACCUUACCAAGGUUUGACAUGGCCGGAAAACUCGCAGAGAUGCGGGGUCCUUCGGGGCCGGUCACAGGUGGUGCAUGGCUGUCGUCAGCUCGUGUCGUGAGAUGUUGGGUUAAGUCCCGCAACGAGCGCAACCCUCGUCCUAUGUUGCCAGCGGGUUAUGCCGGGGACUCAUGGGAGACUGCCGGGGUCAACUCGGAGGAAGGUGGGGAUGACGUCAAGUCAUCAUGCCCCUUAUGUCUUGGGCUGCAAACAUGCUACAAUGGCCGGUACAAAGCGCUGCGACAUCGUGAGAUGAAGCGAAUCGCAUAAAAGCCGGUCUCAGUUCGGAUCGGGGUCUGCAACCCGGCCCCGUGAAGCCGGAGUCGCUAGUAAUCGCGGAUCAGCAACGCCGCGGUGAAUACGUUCCCGGGCCUUGUA
This 427-nucleotide ribosomal RNA is filed under the name uncultured Actinomycetes bacterium. RNAcentral's name for it is "bacterial SSU rRNA". It matches the Rfam family "Bacterial small subunit ribosomal RNA", at positions 958 to 1385 of the family's 1533-position model. Lineage: Bacteria; Bacillati; Actinomycetota; Actinomycetes. The record is from RNAcentral.